CGAGCCUGCUCCUUCUCGUCUGUAAAACGGUAACAGCGUGCCGGCCUCUCAAGAGUGAGACGAGGUUUGGUCAGGACGAUGGCCGUGAAAGCACAGUGUGGAGCUGCAUCCGUUUUCUCUUGACAUGUCACACAUGACCAAAAUAUGUACUCUUCAUGACUGUAGGACUGAAUUCCCUGUUUCCCAGCUGGAUGUCAGCCAGGGGCAACGCUCACCUCAGGGAGGCCAAGCAUGUUCCUUGCCCCGAGGCACCUCCAGCUUCGGAGCCAGCAAUGCUUCCUCAUUGGAUCCCUCUCGCCCUUGAGUCUCACUGCCUUCCCUUCCUCUGACCUCUAGACCCAGAUGUAGAAGGACUCAUGUGGUUAGGUCAAGCCCACAGGGAUCAUCCCCCCAUAUAAAUGCCAACUGCAAAAUCCCUUCCCAUCAACACCCAUUACUGCGUAACUGAGUAACUGACAGAAGAUGUGUGUGUACCAGGACCCUGGAAUUUUGGGGGCCAUCUCAGAAUUCUGCCUCCGUGAGGCUGAUGUUAUAGGAUUUUUAUUUGCAUUUUAAAAUUUUAUUAAAAAUAAAAGAAUUUUUAUUCUUUUUAACGGCUACAUCAUAUUCCUUUUUAAAAUAUAUGCCGCAAUUUCUUUAUCCAUUUGUCUGUUGAUGGAUGCUUAGGUUGAUGCCUGUUUCUUUCAGGUCAGCCAGCACUUGCAGUGUUGAAUUCCCUUAAGGUUUUCUUGGAGUAAUGAGGUUCUUUGAAAAUAAGGGCAGCGUCUUGGGGACGGUGAAGGGCAGCAUCUGAGGGGAACGGUCCAGUCCUGGUUGUGUCGAGCGACGGGAGAGCUGCACCCUGGUCCUGCCUCGAAGGCUCGAGAGGGCCAUGUGAAAUCGUAAGGGCUUGGACCAACGUCGAAGACAUGAGGAAGGAGCACUUCCCUCGAGGCUGUGGAAAGGGCUGGGACGACCUGUCCUCACUCUGUCCUUGUGCACACAGUGCGUUUGCCAGCUGGCCGAGGCUCUGGCUCUCAGUGGCUGUGGAGGUGUCAACUUGGAGCCCCGGCUGGGGAAUAUCACAGGCGUGCUGUUCCAACUGAAAGGUACUCAUUGCAGGACAGCACCGAUGGACACCUUGCACUGCCUGUGGCCAGCCAGGUUAUACGGCGGCGAUCAGCUGGUGAUUUUGCUGCAAAACGUUGUCAAACCCGAGGAACCUGCCAAGGCAGUGGCAGCCCUGCAAGCCUUCAGGGAUGUGUCCUGCGGAGGUGAGUGGGAAUGGGGCACAGUCCUGGGGUUCUAGGACUC
This 1293-nucleotide long non-coding RNA is filed under the name Piliocolobus tephrosceles (Ugandan red Colobus). Its description in RNAcentral is "lncRNA (ENSPTEG00000038588.1)". Lineage: Eukaryota; Metazoa; Chordata; Mammalia; Primates; Cercopithecidae. The record is from RNAcentral.